CCUACGGGUGACAGCAGUGGGGGAUAUUGCACAAUGGGGGCAACCCUGAUGCAGCGACGCCGCGUGGGUGAAGGAGUGCUUCGGCAUGUAAAGCCCUAUCGGCAGGGAAGAAGCAAGACGGUACCUGACUAAGAAGCCCCGGCUAACUACGUGCCAGCAGCCGCGGUAAUACGUAGGGGGCGAGCGUGAUCCGGAUUCACUGGGUGUAAAGGGAGCGUAGACGGCCAUGCAAGCCAGGGGUGAAAGCCCGGGGCCCAACCCCGGGACUGCCCUUGGAACUGUGCGGCUAGAGUGCGGGAGGGGCAGGCGGAAUGCCUGGUGUAGCGGUGAAAUGCGUAGAUAUCAGGAGGAACACCGGCGGCGAAGGCGGCCUGCUGGACUGCGACUGACGUUGAGGCUCGAAAGCGUGGGGAGCGAACAGGAUUAGAUACCCUUGUAGUC
RNAcentral lists this ribosomal RNA (441 nucleotides) under uncultured bacterium. RNAcentral's name for it is "partial 16S ribosomal RNA". It matches the Rfam family "Bacterial small subunit ribosomal RNA", at positions 338 to 795 of the family's 1533-position model. The record is from RNAcentral.